UACGAGGGGUGCAAGCGUUGCUCGGAAUUAUUGGGCGUAAAGGGUAGGUAGGUGGUCUCAUUUGUCUAGGGUGAAAGCCUUGAGCUUAACUCAAGAAGUGCCCUAGAAACGGUGAGACUGGAGUCUUGGAGAGGGUCGUGGAAUUCCCGGUGUAGCGGUGAAAUGCGUUGAUAUCAGAAGGAACGCCGGUGGCGAAAGCGACGGACUGGACCUCUUCUGACGCUGAGGCGCGAAAGCUAGGGGAGCAAACGGG
RNAcentral lists this ribosomal RNA (253 nucleotides) under uncultured bacterium. RNAcentral describes it as "partial 16S ribosomal RNA". It matches the Rfam family "Bacterial small subunit ribosomal RNA", at positions 524 to 776 of the family's 1533-position model. The record is from RNAcentral.